This 449-nucleotide long non-coding RNA is filed under the name Brachypodium distachyon (stiff brome). RNAcentral describes it as "long non-coding RNA (BDIS_LNC001699)". The record is from RNAcentral. Lineage: Eukaryota; Viridiplantae; Streptophyta; Magnoliopsida; Poales; Poaceae.
GCCGGCUUGUUCCGGUCCGGGCGUGCGGAACUGGGUCGGUUCGGCCCAUUUGGCCGGGCCGGUCCGGUUUUCUCCCUUUUUUUUCUUUUAGCCUUUUCUUUUUCUCCUUUUCUCAAUUCUUUGAUAACUUUUGAUUUUGAACUCUAAUUUGGUCCAAAUAAAUUCCAGAAAAUUUGUAAAAUCAUGAUUUAUCAUGAUUCAACUUUUGGGAGUAAUGUCCCCUAAAAUAAAAUAUCUAAAAAUACAUUUGCCCUAUAAAUGCCUUUAGGGUUAUAUAACUAUUUAAAUAAAAUAGUUUUUGAACUCCAAAUAAUUAUCCAAAAAUUAUGAGAUAGCUUAUUUAUGCAAUACACCCUUGUAUAAACAAACCUUAUUGGUUUGAAGAUCCCAUGCUCAAAUGGGUGUAAACCCUAGGGUUUAAAUUGAAGUAAAAUCUUUCCAAAGCCUUU